UACGGGGGGAGCAAGCGUUGUUCGGAUUUACUGGGCGUAAAGGGCGCGUAGGCGGCCACUGCAAGUCGGUUGUGAAAUCUCCGGGCUUAACCCGGAAAGGUCAAUCGAUACUGCAGGGCUAGAGUGCAGAAGGGGCAACUGGAAUUCUCGGUGUAGCGGUGAAAUGCGUAGAUAUCGAGAGGAACACCUGCGGCGAAGGCGACUGUCUGGGCCAAUACUGACACUGAGGUACGAAAGCGUGGGUAGCGAACAGG
Molecule: ribosomal RNA, 254 nt
Filed under: uncultured bacterium
Lineage: Bacteria
Description: partial 16S ribosomal RNA
Rfam family: Bacterial small subunit ribosomal RNA
Source: RNAcentral